RNAcentral lists this long non-coding RNA (2643 nucleotides) under Malus domestica (apple). RNAcentral's name for it is "long non-coding RNA (MDOM_LNC012655)". The record is from RNAcentral. Lineage: Eukaryota; Viridiplantae; Streptophyta; Magnoliopsida; Rosales; Rosaceae.
UUCAUGACUCCAUAAGAUGUAGUUGGAAAGAAAGACAAAUCUUAAGCAUGUUAAGAUUUGGGGUUAUGUGCUAAUAAGCAAUAUUUGUUUGAUAACAAUCUUGUGGGAUAUCCUUAAAUUAACUAUUGGAUAUCGCUUCUAUAAACCAAUUAACAAAUGUUGUUUUGUUGGGUAGUUCAUUGUAAUCCUACAAUGUGAUUUGCCUAAAAGCAAAUGAACGAGAGAUAGAACUCAAAGAAUUGGUUCUUUGAGAGACAAGAUGAUAAUCAACAAAUAUAACAACCUAGUUCCUAUACCACAAGCUCCAACGUAGUCAAGAAGGAUUUAUAAACCGUCUCGGUUGAAUGGUUUGAACUUUAUGACUAUGUCAUAGAGUUGCACCUCUUAAUUCGAAAGAAAUAAGAAUGAAAAUCCUUAUGACUACAUUGAGUGUAUAUAUAUGAUAUAUACUCAAGGAAAUGGUAAAGUACCAUUUAACCCGAAAUAAUGAAACCUUCAUAAGCUAAUUGGUAGCUUAAGGUAACUACAAUCAAAAGGAUGGUUGACUUUGAAGAAACCAUCUUUGACGUAGUCUUGGUUUCAAUUAAUUCGAAGAUAGCUAGCUACAACGAAAUGGUGAUUCAAUGUUUGGACAUAAUAUGGGUUUCCGAAACCAUUAUUAAGAUAGUCUUGAUAAUAUAUGUCUAAAACUAUAAAUCACAAGACAUGUAAGUUGUAGAGAUCCAUCCAUCAUGAAUCUUAGCAAGCUAGUGGGAGCUAUGAGCAUCUUAUGAGAAAAAGGAUCAAAUCGUUUGAUUUCUCAUAAAGAUGUAAAUGAAUCUUUUGUUUACUAGGUUUACAAAAGAUUAGUGGGAGUUAAUCAUGUUCCUAAAAUUUAAAUAUAUAUGAUAUAUUAAUUUUGGAAAUGAAAAGAAUACUUCUUCGUUAAAGUUAUGACUUUAAACAUUCUAUAACGAUAGAAUGUAUAUGGGAGUUAAUCAUGUUCCUAAAAAUUUAAUAUAUAUGAUAUAUUAAUUUUGGAAAUGAAAAGAAUACUUCUUCGUUAAAGUUAUGACUUUAAAACAUUAUAUGAAGAUAGAAUGUAUGUGGGAGAUAUAGUCUAUAUACAUGGGAUGGAAAUCUAUAAUGAUAUAUUUCAUGAUAUAAUUGGAUUAUAUCAAUCCCUAAUAAUAGAUAAUAGAUGCUAGGAAGUUUCUCAUAUGAUGAUAAACUUCAAUUAGAAGGACAACUCUAGUGAGACUAAGAAGUUGCUCUUCUCAAAGAGAACGUACUCUUUGACUCCCAGAGAAAUAAUGCGUAAAUAGAAUCCUUUAUGCGUAUGCAUAAAGGGGAUUUAUGUAUUUCAUAUUGUAUGAAAAAUAUUGAUAUGAGUUGUACCUAGAACGGUACAAGACGAUAUCAGUGCAAGCCCAGGAUCAGAACCAUGGCAACUGUCAAGUGAGUCCUUAAGUAUUUAAGAAAUACUAAAGGAUAGAUUCCUCAAAGAAUGAGGAAGAAUUAGAGUAACGUAAAGGAAGCGUAAAUGUAUUAGAUUAUGAAUCUAAUCCAUCAUUGGAUGUUUCUUCAUUAUGAAUGAAGAGAUAAUCAGAUAUCUCUUUAUUAUGACUAAAGAGAUAUUUAGAUGGAAACAUUAAAAGUAAUGACUUUAGUGUGUUCCAUUAUGAAUGCAAAAUAUAUUGCCAUAUAGAAGCUUACAACAAUGUUGUUUGGAUGGGAAAGUUCAUUUAUGAACUCUCUAUUCGGUUCCAACCAGAAAGUGUAUCUAGUGUACUGACAUUAUGACACUAAUGGGGCGAUAGCUCAAGCUAGGGAAUCAAGGUCUCAUCAAGAUCCGAACUCAAAUGAGAGACUGAACCACAUGAUUGAGAAUCAUGUAUAAUGGUGACGUCGUUAUUCUCAAGGUUGCUUCUAUGGAUAACAUAUAGAUAUCCAUUGUCUAGCCCUACUAUUUAGCCAUUUAUGAAAUGACUACAUAAGAGGUAUCAUCACUGAUGACUAAGCUGAUUGGCUUUAGUGCAAGUGGGAGAUUGUUGGAAAUGUGCCCUAAAACCAAUCAUAUGAUGAUACUUUACGGACAUUUCACAUGUUAAACUAAUCUAGUUUAAUAUCAAGGGCAAAGAUUAUUGUUUGAGCCGUCUCAUAUAAAUGUUAUAUGCUUAAACGAUAAGUCCAAAGGAAUAUGUGAUUGAGAUAAUGCGAUCUAAAGAAGUUAGAUUCAUGAGACCAUUCUUUCUUAGACACAUCCUAAACGUUCCUGAUCAUAGGAUUGCCAAUUGGGCAUUGACAGUCCAUUAAGAUCAGUACGUGCUGUGUAUUCUCUCAGGGAGAGUGACUAGUCUCGAGUCAUUGGUGUGUGUGACAUCAAGACAAGUACGUAGGUGCUCAAUAGAGAAUGAGUUCAUUGAACACGAUCAACGAAGAGUUCUCAUAUUCAUGUCACAUGAGAACUCAUGGUUGGGAUAAUGCAAAGUAGUCCUUUGACCUGAGGCAUCACGUUUGUCUUGUGGUUAAGUACUUGAUCUUUGAUUAUGUCAAAGUCACUCCAUCAGGAGGGUGUCCACGGCAUCGUUAGGGUUAAGCCACUUAGCUAUGGAGGCAAGUGAAUGCGCAACAAGGGAUCUCUAACCUUCAAACCGUUUGGGG